GGAUGUGAGGGCGAUCUGACUUCGACAUCUGUCACCCCAUUGAUCGCCUGGGUUGAUUCAGUUGAUCUGGCUGGCUAGGCGGAUGUCCCCUUCCUCCCUCACUGCUCCAUGUGCGUCCUUCCCAAAGCUACAUGGGAUGGCCUUCUGUUGAGUGUAUACAAGUAGCUGCACUCCCCUGCUAGAACUUCCAAAGAAGCUCUCAAAGAUCCCGGUUUGAGCCCCUGGCUCCCCACCUGCAGGGGAGUCGCUUCACAGGCGGUAAAGCCGGUCUGCAGGUGUCUCUCUUU
Erinaceus europaeus (western European hedgehog) is the source of this 287-nucleotide non-coding RNA. Lineage: Eukaryota; Metazoa; Chordata; Mammalia; Eulipotyphla; Erinaceidae. The record is from Rfam.